GAUGAACGCUGGCGGCGUGCCUAAUACAUGCAAGUCGAGCGAACAGAUGAGGAGCUUGCUCCUCUGACGUUAGCGGCGGACGGGUGAGUAACACGUGGAUAACCUACCUAUAAGACUGGGAUAACUUCGGGAAACCGGAGCUAAUACCGGAUAAUAUAUUGAACCGGAUGGUUCAAUAGUUAAAGACGGUUUUGCUGUCACUUAUAGAUUGAUCCGCGCAGCAUUCACUAGUUGGUAAGGGAAAGGCUUACCAAGGCGACGAUGCGUAGCCGACCUGAGAGGGAGAACGGCCACACUGGAACUGAGACACGGUCCAGACUCCGACGGGAGGCAGCAGUAGGGAAUCUUCCGCAAUGGGCGAAAGCCUGACGGAGCAACGCCGCGUGAAUGAUGAAGGUCUUCGGAUCGUAAAACUCUGUUAUUAGGAAAGAACAAAUGUGUAAGUAACUAUGCACGUCUUGACGGUACCUAAUCAGAAAGCCACGGCUAACUACGUG
Molecule: ribosomal RNA, 497 nt
Filed under: uncultured bacterium
Lineage: Bacteria
Description: partial 16S ribosomal RNA
Rfam family: Bacterial small subunit ribosomal RNA
Source: RNAcentral